UUGCUGGGGAUACAUAUUAACGCUAUGUAGAUUAAUGAUUAAAAUGUUUACAAAACAAAAGAACGUCAAGAAUUUCGUUUACACUACUUUCUAGCUACUACACAUCGACCAACAACUGAAUGCUUGUUCAUCCCUGAGUUACUCAAAUUGAAGUAAAAUCCUCCAAUUAGGAGGUAAUUGUGAUGCCAUUCCAUAUAAUUCUCUUCUAAAAGACAAUUGUGUUGCCAUUUCAUGCAAGAACAUACAUCAAUCUUCUUUGAUCCACAUGAGGCAAUAACUUGUAGUUGAUAGAGAAUGGUCGAGUGCAACUGGGAACAAUGAUGUCUCGACGCUAGUACGUUCACUCUUAUCUAUUGAAAACCUAUUCUGCAGGUAUUUGCUCAUAGCUAAGAAGUCUUUCAGGCUGAUCACUUGCCUCAGCUCGCAAACUUCAUUUCUACAUCGACACAUCAACAAAAUUAUCAAGUUGAAAUAGUUACACAGAAGAAUAAUGGGUUUUUCUUUCCCAAGGAUAGCCUCAGGAGGAGAGGGGCUGGGUGGGGUGAGAAUGUAGUAAAGAUGUGUU
Molecule: long non-coding RNA, 565 nt
Filed under: Olea europaea subsp. europaea
Lineage: Eukaryota; Viridiplantae; Streptophyta; Magnoliopsida; Lamiales; Oleaceae
Source: RNAcentral